UGUGUGUGUGUGUGUGUGUGUGAUAGUUUAAUAUUUAGAUUUAAAAUUUAAUCACUAUAAAUAUUUUGAUGAACUCUAGUUAAUAUUAAAUAGCCUUUGUAAGAUAAUAUAAAAAGUAAAGUAAAUAUAAUGAAUUUAACUAAUGUUAUGUAAUAUUUUUAUUUAUUGGAUUAAUAAUAUUGAGAAUCUAAGAUUUAUCUUCUACUUUAUUCAAUUAAUUAUUUGUAUUGUCGUUAAGCUUGUAUGAUUGUAUAAUGUAUUACAAUAUAUUAUAAUUUAUUUUUGGUAUAAUAGUUAAUAUUUUUUUUGUUUUGGAGUUUACAUGAAGAUUUAGAUCCUCUAA
This 343-nucleotide long non-coding RNA is filed under the name Brassica napus (rape). RNAcentral describes it as "long non-coding RNA (BNAP_LNC026452)". Lineage: Eukaryota; Viridiplantae; Streptophyta; Magnoliopsida; Brassicales; Brassicaceae. The record is from RNAcentral.